AAAACGACUCUCGGCAACGGAUAUCUAGGCUCUCGCAUCGAUGAAGAACGUAGCGAAAUGCGAUACUUGGUGUGAAUUGCAAAUCCCGCGAAUCAUCGAGUUUUUGAACGCAAGUUGCGCCCGAAGCCAUUCGGCCGAGGGCACGUCUGCCUGGGUGUCACGC
RNAcentral lists this ribosomal RNA (163 nucleotides) under Quercus pubescens. RNAcentral describes it as "5.8S ribosomal RNA". It matches the Rfam family "5.8S ribosomal RNA". From Rfam's summary of the family: 5.8S ribosomal RNA (5.8S rRNA) is a component of the large subunit of the eukaryotic ribosome. It is transcribed by RNA polymerase I as part of the 45S precursor that also contains 18S and 28S rRNA. Functionally, it is thought that 5.8S rRNA may be involved in ribosome translocation. The record is from RNAcentral. Lineage: Eukaryota; Viridiplantae; Streptophyta; Magnoliopsida; Fagales; Fagaceae.